CUGAAUUUGGCCGACGCAAAGGGGUCUAGAGAGACUAAGAUUGUUCCUGGGCGCCUCCCUCUAGGUUUGGGUUUAGAUUGGCUAUGGGAGAGUCUGAUCCUUACCCAAAAAACGAUCGCUGUGACUGGAUUGGAGUUGGGGCUAAGGGUGGGGGAGAAAUUGGAUUGUUUUAUCUCCUAAUAAAUAAACUAGAAAGCAGGCGGAAACGUGCGGGCAACGCGUGGGGAGCCCUGGUUCUGGCCCUGGCAUAAUCUGCCUAGAGCUCGUGGAUGGAAAGAACCUGAGGCCGCCCAGCGAGAGACUUUGAUGUCCGGAUUGCAUUUCCAUUUCAGAGUUUCGGCCACUUUCUCCAAAGCCCCAGUUGUCUGAAAGGGACCUUUUCGGCUCCUCCACCUCCACCGCAGAGCAAAGAGGGCUGAAAGGAUGUGAUAGCCCCAAAACACACACACACACACACACACACAUACAAAAUCAAUACAUGGAGGGGGUGUAGUUAUGCUCUCAGUGAAAAAUGGAGGAAGAAUAAAAGGAGGAAAAUGAGGGCAAUAGAAUAGACUGAUAUUUCAAUGUACAAUAGAAAUAAAAAGCCUCGGAGCGAGAUUUUCAAAGAAAAGGGCGGGAGAUGGGGAAAGAAUUUGGUGUAGGAAAGCUAAAAAGCCCUUGAUGCAAACAAGAGCAAGCGCUCUCAGAUCCGUGUACAAAAGGAAUCCUGGAAUGAGAGUCGGCCCGAUUUGUCCUUUUGGAGGGACCUUUCCCAGGCACAACCCUGUAAGACCCCAGAAAGACCGACCUAAGCCUCGUGGGCCCACCUCUGCCCUCUGCAGCCUGGGCUUAUCUGGCCUAAGAGGGCCCAGGGUCAGAGCCAGUAUCAGCAGGGUUCUCUAGGUUUAGCUCCCCGGGCUUUCUUGGGGUCACUCCCUUUUAGUGUGGAACGUAAAAUUGCCGCAUAUGUCAAAGAAAAAAAUUAACACCAAUUAACUGAUUUUUGGAAAAAGCCCCCCUCUUCCUUACCGAUCUCCAGACAUGGGUUUCUAUGCCCAGUUGACCUCAUUAAUAGAGUCACCAGAGUCACCCCGUUCCAGAGCGCAUCUCCAUGGAAUUGAGCCAAGUUCCCUUUCAGCCACGGCCUCCCUGAGGAGAAGAGACAGCACGGAGGCGGUGGCCACGCAGUAGCACCAGGCUACGGACCUACUGGAUCCCUCAAACCUGACAGCAAAUGCCAAAUCUGUACUGAGAUUCGGCCCACUGGCCACCUCCCUUCUCCCGAUAUGGAGAAGAUGGUUUUUGACGAUGGAGAGCGCCCUGGUGUUGGGACAUGAUGCGGCCAAAAUUUAGCAACGAGAGGAGAGGGAACCAAAGUCUCCUUCAUCAAGAAGACCAGCCAGCAAAGAUGUGGUGCCCCCACCCCCGACUUGGGGGUGUGGGAAGGCUGGAGGAGGGGAAAGUUCAGGGCCAAGGGCGUUGAAAGCAUCUGGAGACGGGUCCGCAUACUCUGAGCGAUUCCCGGUCCUUUUGCUGGGUUCCCCGAGACGUUCCGCGCCUGAAACCGACUCCACGACGGGGGCGCGCCGGGAGCCGCGAGGGAGGUGGCAGUGCAAGAGCCUUUGGCGGGUGGGCGGCCGAAAGUGAAGCCCGGUUAGUUAAUUAACUUUAAGCCUGGGGUCGCUUCUCUCUCCUCCCCCCCAAAAAAUGUGGAUCUCGCUGAGACACAAAUAAAACCAAAUUAAACACUCCAGGAGAAGAUGCACCACUGGAAACGUAGUAAUUACAUCUCCGAGGCGAACCCGCCCUAGGAAGCCAGGCGCUGAAACCCGCGGCCCA
Neogale vison (American mink) is the source of this 1821-nucleotide long non-coding RNA. RefSeq lists it as uncharacterized. The record is from RefSeq and is a predicted model, not a curated record. The transcript has 3 exons. NCBI's taxonomy places the organism in Eukaryota, Metazoa, Chordata, Mammalia, Carnivora, Mustelidae.